CGGGCUGGAGCUCAACGGAAAGAGCAUGGCAUAAGUGUUGCCAAGGAGCUGGUUCGAACCCGGCCAGCCCGACCA
Molecule: transfer RNA, 75 nt
Filed under: Kitasatospora setae KM-6054
Lineage: Bacteria; Bacillati; Actinomycetota; Actinomycetes; Kitasatosporales; Streptomycetaceae
Description: tRNA-Thr (AGT) (tRNA-Thr-AGT-1-1)
Rfam family: tRNA
About the family: Transfer RNA (tRNA) molecules are approximately 80 nucleotides in length. Their secondary structure includes four short double-helical elements and three loops (D, anti-codon, and T loops).
Source: RNAcentral